RNAcentral lists this small RNA (607 nucleotides) under Penicillium paneum. Its description in RNAcentral is "eukaryotic LSU rRNA". The stretch from base 229 to 381 matches the Rfam family "5.8S ribosomal RNA". Lineage: Eukaryota; Fungi; Ascomycota; Eurotiomycetes; Eurotiales; Aspergillaceae. The record is from RNAcentral.
GGAAGUAAAAGUCGUAACAAGGUUUCCGUAGGUGAACCUGCGGAAGGAUCAUUACCGAGUGAGGGCCCUCUGGGUCCAACCUCCCACCCGUGUUUAUUUACCUUAUUGCUUCGGCGGGCCCGCCUUCACUGGCCGCCGGGGGGCUCACGCCCCCGGGCCCGCGCCCGCCGAAGACACCCCGAACUCUGUCUGAAGAAUGAAGUCUGAGUGAAAAUAUAAAUUAUUUAAAACUUUCAACAACGGAUCUCUUGGUUCCGGCAUCGAUGAAGAACGCAGCGAAAUGCGAUACGUAAUGUGAAUUGCAAAUUCAGUGAAUCAUCGAGUCUUUGAACGCACAUUGCGCCCCCUGGUAUUCCGGGGGGCAUGCCUGUCCGAGCGUCAUUGCUGCCCUCAAGCCCGGCUUGUGUGUUGGGCCUCGUCCUCCGAUUCCGGGGGACGGGCCCGAAAGGCAGCGGCGGCACCGCGUCCGGUCCUCGAGCGUAUGGGGCUCUGUCACCCGCUCUGUAGGCCCGGCCGGCGCUUGCCGAUCAACCCAAAUUUUUAUCCAGGUUGACCUCGGAUCAGGUAGGGAUACCCGCUGAACUUAAGCAUAUCAAUAAGCGGAGGA